Molecule: long non-coding RNA, 371 nt
Organism: Bufo gargarizans (Asiatic toad)
Lineage: Eukaryota; Metazoa; Chordata; Amphibia; Anura; Bufonidae
Exons: 3
Source: RefSeq, a predicted model, not a curated record
CUCAGUGAAAAACAGCUCGUUACUAGCGGAACAGACACUACUCCCAAACUUGCUGAGAGGAUCCUAAUAUCACUUUAUGGAAAUCAGGCCUCACAAUGGAGUCACUCACCUCCCGGGGACACGGCUGGAAAUAAGAUUUCCUGCCACCAGAGGAUCCAGCCAAUCAGCUGAGGAGAAUUCUCCCGCCUCAAAACAUCUGGACCAAUGAACAGCUGAAAACAUCUGGAACCGUCGCUAGGAAGAAGAACCGAGACCGGCUGGAACUGGAUUCACCUCAGGUUGGAUGAUUAUAAUUGAUCGUUUUACACAGAAAUUCCUUUGGACACACAAGAUAAGCAAAUGAAGGAGAUGUGAAGACCAGAAAUAUGAAG